UUAAACGGAGAGUUUGAUCCUGGCUCAGGAUGAACGCUGGCGGCGUGCCUAACACAUGCAAGUCGAACGAUUAAACCGUCCUCGGACGGACAUAGAGUGGCGAACGGGUGAGUAA
This 115-nucleotide ribosomal RNA is filed under the name Eggerthella sinensis. Its description in RNAcentral is "partial 16S ribosomal RNA". It matches the Rfam family "Bacterial small subunit ribosomal RNA", at positions 1 to 113 of the family's 1533-position model. Lineage: Bacteria; Bacillati; Actinomycetota; Coriobacteriia; Eggerthellales; Eggerthellaceae. The record is from RNAcentral.